Molecule: ribosomal RNA, 253 nt
Filed under: uncultured bacterium
Lineage: Bacteria
Description: partial 16S ribosomal RNA
Rfam family: Bacterial small subunit ribosomal RNA
Source: RNAcentral
UACGAAGGGGGCUAGCGUUGCUCGGAAUCACUGGGCGUAAAGGGUGCGUAGGCGGGUUAUUAAGUCAGAGGUGAAAUCCUGGAGCUCAACUCCAGAACUGCCUUUGAUACUGAUAGUCUUGAGUAUGGGAGAGGUGAGUGGAACUGCGAGUGUAGAGGUGAAAUUCGUAGAUAUUCGCAAGAACACCAGUGGCGAAGGCGGCUCACUGGCCCAUUACUAACGCUGAGGCACGAAAGCGUGGGGAGCAAACAGG